GACGAACGCUGGCGGCGUGCUUAACACAUGCAAGUCGAACGGAAAGGCCCUGCUUUUGUGGGGUGCUCGAGUGGCGAGCGGGUGAGUAACACGUGAGUAACCUGCACUUGACUGUGGGAUAACUUCAGGAAACUGGGGCUAAUACCGGAUAGGAGCUCCUGCUGCAUGGUGGUGGUUGGAAAGUUUCGGCGGUUGGGGAUUGACUCGCGGCUUAUCAGCUUGUUGGGGGGGUAGUGGCUUACCAAGGCUUUGACGGGUAGCCGGCCUGAGAGGGUGACCGGCCACAUUGGGACUGAGAGACGGCCCAGACUCCUACGGGAGGCAGCAGUGGGGAAUAUUGCACAAUGGGCGGAAGCCUGAUGCAGCAACGCCGCGUGCGGGAUGACGGCCUUCGGGUUGUAAACCGCUUUCGCCUGUGACGAAGCGUGAGUGACGGUAAUGGGUAAAGAAGCACCGGCUAACUACGUG
This 468-nucleotide ribosomal RNA is filed under the name uncultured bacterium. Its description in RNAcentral is "partial 16S ribosomal RNA". It matches the Rfam family "Bacterial small subunit ribosomal RNA", at positions 28 to 507 of the family's 1533-position model. The record is from RNAcentral.